AGUGAACGCUGGCGGCAGGCCUAACACAUGCAAGUCGAGCGGAAGCGCGGGGCUAACCCUGGCGGCGAGCGGCGGACGGGUGAGGAAUUCGUAGGAAUCUGCCUGUUUGUGGGGGAUAACGUAGGGAAACGUACGCUAAUACCGCAUACGUCCUGCGGGAGAAAGUGGGGGAUCGUAAGGCCUCACGCUGUCAGAUGAGCCGACGUCCGAUUAGCUAGUUGGUGGGGUAAAGGCCUACCAAGGCGACGAUCGGUAGCUGGUCUGAGAGGAUGAUCAGUCACACAGUGACUGAGAGACAGCGCAGACUCCUACAGGAGACAGAGGUGGGGAGUAUAGUAGAAUAGGCGCAAACCUCUGCCAGAGAUGCGGCGUGUGUGAGAAGGAGCUCCGGGUAGUGUAACGCUCUUGUCCUGGAGAGAAACCCUAGAGCGUAAACCUUCGGCUGAUGAGGCUACCGGAAGAGAAUGCGCCGGCUAUAAUCGUG
RNAcentral lists this ribosomal RNA (484 nucleotides) under uncultured bacterium. RNAcentral's name for it is "partial 16S ribosomal RNA". It matches the Rfam family "Bacterial small subunit ribosomal RNA", at positions 30 to 507 of the family's 1533-position model. The record is from RNAcentral.